This 497-nucleotide ribosomal RNA is filed under the name uncultured bacterium. Its description in RNAcentral is "partial 16S ribosomal RNA". It matches the Rfam family "Bacterial small subunit ribosomal RNA", at positions 28 to 507 of the family's 1533-position model. The record is from RNAcentral.
GAUGAACGCUGGCGGCGUGCCUAAUACAUGCAAGUCGAACGCAUAGCGAAAGGUGCUUGCACCUUUCAAGUGAGUGGCGAACGGGUGAGUAACACGUGGACAACCUGCCUCAAGGCUGGGGAUAACAUUUGGAAACAGAUGCUAAUACCGAAUAAAACUUAGUGUCGCAUGACACAAAGUUAAAAGGCGCUUCGGCGUCACCUAGAGAUGGAUCCGCGGUGCAUUAGUUAGUUGGUGGGGUAAAGGCCUACCAAGACAAUGAUGCAUAGCCGAGUUGGGAGACUGAUCGGCCACAUUGGGACUGAGACACGGCCCAAACUCCUACGGGAGGCUGCAGUAGGGAAUCUUCCACAAUGGGCGAAAGCCUGAUGGAGCAACGCCGCGUGUGUGAUGAAGGCUUUCGGGUCGUAAAGCACUGUUGUAUGGGAAGAACAGCUAGAAUAGGAAAUGAUUUUAGUUUGACGGUACCAUACCAGAAAGGGACGGCUAAAUACGUG